Molecule: ribosomal RNA, 257 nt
Filed under: uncultured Glomeromycotina
Lineage: Eukaryota; Fungi; Glomeromycota
Description: partial small subunit ribosomal RNA
Rfam family: Eukaryotic small subunit ribosomal RNA
Source: RNAcentral
AAGCUCGUAGUUGAAUUUCGGGCUUGGCGGGAUGGUCCGCCUUACGGUGUGUACUAUUCUGCUGAGCCUUACCUCUUGGUGAGACCUCAUGCUCUUUAUUGGGUGUGGGGUGGAACCAGGAAUUUUACCUUGAGAAAAUUAGAGUGUUCAAAGCAGGCAAACGCCCGAAUACAUUAGCAUGGAAUAAUAGAAUAGGACGUGCGGUUCUAUUUUGUUGGUUUCUAGGACCACCGUAAUGAUUAAUAGGGAUAGUUGGG